UACAGAGGGGGCAAGCGUUGUUCGGAAUUACUGGGCGUAAAGGGCGCGUAGGCGGCCUUCUAAGUCGAACGUGAAAUCCCCGGGCUCAACCCGGGAACUGCGUCCGAUACUGGAAGGCUUGAAUCCGGGAGAGGGAUGCGGAAUUCCAGGUGUAGCGGUGAAAUGCGUAGAUAUCUGGAGGAACACCCGUGGCGAAGGCGGCUCUCUGGGACGGUACUGACGCUGAGACGCGAAAGCGUGGGGAGCGAACAGG
RNAcentral lists this ribosomal RNA (253 nucleotides) under uncultured bacterium. Its description in RNAcentral is "partial 16S ribosomal RNA". It matches the Rfam family "Bacterial small subunit ribosomal RNA", at positions 524 to 776 of the family's 1533-position model. The record is from RNAcentral.